Molecule: ribosomal RNA, 253 nt
Filed under: uncultured bacterium
Lineage: Bacteria
Description: partial 16S ribosomal RNA
Rfam family: Bacterial small subunit ribosomal RNA
Source: RNAcentral
AACGUAGGUACCGAGCGUUAUCCGGAUUUACUGGGCGUAAAGCGCGUUCAGGCGGUUUGGCAAGUCGGGCAUGAAAUCUCUCGGCUCAACCGGGAGAGGUUGUCCGAUACUUCCAGACUUGAGGGCAGUAGAGGGUGGUGGAAUUCCGGGUGUAGUGGUGAAAUGCGUAGAUAUCCGGAGGAACACCAGUGGCGAAAGCGGCCACCUGGACUGCACCUGACGCUGACACGCGAAAGCUAGGGGAGCAAACAGG